GUUUCUACAAAUCAGCAAGAUCCUCUUGCAGAACUGAUCAUGCUCUGUGUGUUGUCAAACACUUAGAACAUAGGCUUGUACAUACAUACUAACCCAUCAGCAAAGAUUACUUCACAUAACGUUCAUUAGGUCUGUGAUGCUCUUAUGACCUAUUUCAGACUUCCUUCAAGAUAUCAUCUUCAACAUAAAACUUGGAUGGAGAGAAAAUUUGUAGUCAUUUGAGUUUUCAUCCUCAUGUUACUUUCUCUCUUCACCUUUUUAGGUAGAUUAUGACUCCUUGACAGAAUACUGUUAUAGUUCAAAAGAAGAUGCAAUAAUGAUGUACAUUUAUAAUAGUGAGGAACCGUACCUUUUUACUGUCA
This 362-nucleotide long non-coding RNA is filed under the name Panax ginseng (ginseng). Its description in RNAcentral is "long non-coding RNA (PGIN_LNC010017)". Lineage: Eukaryota; Viridiplantae; Streptophyta; Magnoliopsida; Apiales; Araliaceae. The record is from RNAcentral.